This 346-nucleotide long non-coding RNA is filed under the name Homo sapiens (human). RNAcentral's name for it is "HSALNT0003248". The record is from RNAcentral. Lineage: Eukaryota; Metazoa; Chordata; Mammalia; Primates; Hominidae.
GGUCCCCAAACCCCAGGCCACAGACCAGUACCAGUCUGCGGCCUGUUAGGAAGUAGGCCACACCACCAGAGGUGAUCAGCGGGUGAGCAAGCGAAGCUUCAUCUGUAUUUACAGCCACCCCCCAUCACUUGCAUUACCACCUGAGCUCCACCUCCUGUCAGAUUGGUGGCAGCAUUAGAUUCUCAUAGGAGCACGAACCCUACUGUGAACUGCGCACGCGAGGGAUCUAGGUUGCACGCUCCUUAUGAGAAUCUAAUGCCUGAUGAUCUGUCACUGUCUCCUAUUACCCCCAGAUAGGACCGCCUAGUUGCAAGAAAACAAGCUCAGAGCUCCCACCGAUUCUACA